AGCGGCGGACGGGUGAGUAACACGUGGGUAACCUGCCUGUAAGACUGGGAUAACUCCGGGAAACCGGGGCUAAUACCGGAUGCUUGAUUGAACCGCAUGGUUCAAUCAUAAAAGGUGGCUUUUAGCUACCACUUGCAGAUGGACCCGCGGCGCAUUAGCUAGUUGGUGAGGUAACGGCUCACCAAGGCGACGAUGCGUAGCCGACCUGAGAGGGUGAUCGGCCACACUGGGACUGAGACACGGCCCAGACUCCUACGGGAGGCAGCAGUAGGGAAUCUUCCGCAAUGGACGAAAGUCUGACGGAGCAACGCCGCGUGAGUGAUGAAGGUUUUCGGAUCGUAAAACUCUGUUGUUAGGGAAGAACAAGUACCGUUCGAAUAGGGCGGUACCUUGACGGUACCUAACCAGAAAGCCACGGCUAACUACGUGCCAGCAGCCGCGGUAAUACGUAGGUGGCAAGCGUUGUCCGGAAUUAUUGGGCGUAAAGCGCGCGCAGGCGGUUUCUUAAGUCUGAUGUGAAAGCCCCCGGCUCAACCGGGGAGGGUCAUUGGAAACUGGGGAACUUGAGUGCAGAAGAGGAGAGUGGAAUUCCACGUGUAGCGGUGAAAUGCGUAGAGAUGUGGAGGAACACCAGUGGCGAAGGCGACUCUCUGGUC
RNAcentral lists this ribosomal RNA (656 nucleotides) under uncultured Bacilli bacterium. Its description in RNAcentral is "bacterial SSU rRNA". It matches the Rfam family "Bacterial small subunit ribosomal RNA", at positions 94 to 734 of the family's 1533-position model. Lineage: Bacteria; Bacillati; Bacillota; Bacilli. The record is from RNAcentral.